UACAGAGGUCUCAAGCGUUGUUCGGAUUCAUUGGGCGUAAAGGGUGCGUAGGCGGCGCGGUAAGUCGGGUGUGAAAUCUCGGAGCUUAACUCCGAAACUGCAUUCGAUACUGCCGUGCUUGAGGACUGGAGAGGAGACUGGAAUUCAUGGUGUAGCAGUGAAAUGCGUAGAGAUCAUGAGGAAUACCGAUGGCGAAGGCAGGUCUCUGGGCUGACACUGACGCUCAUGCACGAAAGCGUGGGGAGCAAACAGG
RNAcentral lists this ribosomal RNA (253 nucleotides) under uncultured bacterium. Its description in RNAcentral is "partial 16S ribosomal RNA". It matches the Rfam family "Bacterial small subunit ribosomal RNA", at positions 524 to 776 of the family's 1533-position model. The record is from RNAcentral.